This 187-nucleotide non-coding RNA is filed under the name Alkalicoccus luteus. Its description in RNAcentral is "Bacillus luteus 6S RNA". It matches the Rfam family "6S / SsrS RNA". Rfam says of the family: E. coli 6S RNA was the first non coding RNA to be sequenced, but its function was unknown until recently. It consists of 184 nucleotides that fold into an extended hairpin structure with a large single-stranded internal bulge. Lineage: Bacteria; Bacillati; Bacillota; Bacilli; Caryophanales; Bacillaceae. The record is from RNAcentral.
ACAUGCCUGCGGUGUUGGUGAACUUCCAGUUUAAUUCGAACCGAACACCAAUUCACAUUGGGAGCCUUACAUUGAAAAGCGGCCAGCAUGCCCUGGAUUUCAGGGAAGCUGAAUGCUUUUCUGCAGGCACCCACCUGCCUAGGGCGGGUUCGUGAAAUCUUGAAGAUAACCGCACAUGCGGGCUGUC